RNAcentral lists this ribosomal RNA (249 nucleotides) under uncultured bacterium. RNAcentral's name for it is "partial 16S ribosomal RNA". It matches the Rfam family "Bacterial small subunit ribosomal RNA", at positions 355 to 618 of the family's 1533-position model. The record is from RNAcentral.
UGGGGAAUUUUCCGCAAUGGGCGAAAGCCUGACGGAGCAAUACCGCGUGAGGGAGGAAGGCUCUUGGGUCGUAAACCUCUUUUCUCAGGGAAGAACAAAAUGACGGUAUCUGAGGAAUAAGCAUCGGCUAACUCUGUGCCAGCAGCCGCGGUAAGACAGAGGAUGCAAGCGUUAUCCGGAAUGAUUGGGCGUAAAGCGUCUGUAGGUGGCUUUUCAAGUCCGCCGUCAAAUCCCAGGGCUCAACCCUGG